This is a long non-coding RNA of Haliotis rubra (blacklip abalone), 328 nucleotides long. RefSeq lists it as uncharacterized. The record is from RefSeq and is a predicted model, not a curated record. The transcript has 3 exons. NCBI's taxonomy places the organism in Eukaryota, Metazoa, Mollusca, Gastropoda, Lepetellida, Haliotidae.
GUACAGCAUCCCUACACAACAAAGAGGUGAAGUUAGUGAGGUACAGCAUCCCUACACAACACUGGGAGACGUCAUUGAGGUACAGUGUCCCUACACAACAAAGAGGUGAAGUUAGUGAGGUUCCUACACAACACUGGGAGACGUCAUUGAGGUACAGUGUCCCUACACAACAAAGAGGUGAAGUUAGUGAGGUUCCUAUACAACACUGGGAGACGUCAUUGAGGUACAGUGUCCCUACACAACAAAGAGGUGAAGUUAGUGAGGUUCCUACACAACACUGGAAGACGUCAUUGAGGUACAGUGUCCCUACACAACAAAGAGGUGAAGU